Molecule: ribosomal RNA, 445 nt
Filed under: uncultured bacterium
Lineage: Bacteria
Description: partial 16S ribosomal RNA
Rfam family: Bacterial small subunit ribosomal RNA
Source: RNAcentral
GUGAGGAAUAUUGGUCAAUGGGCGGGAGCCUGAACCAGCCAAGUCGCGUGAAGGAAGAAGGAUCUAUGGUUCGUAAACUUCUUUUGCAGGGGAAUAAAGUGCAGGACGUGUCCUGUUUUGUAUGUACCCUGAGAAUAAGGAUCGGCUAACUCCGUGCCAGCAGCCGCGGUAAUACGGAGGAUCCGAGCGUUAUCCGGAUUUAUUGGGUUUAAAGGGUGCGUAGGUGGUUUGAUAAGUCAGCGGUGAAAGUUUGCAGCUUAACUGUAAAAAUGCCGUUGAAACUGUCGGACUUGAGUGUAAAUGAGGUAGGCGGAAUGCGUGGUGUAGCGGUGAAAUGCAUAGAUAUCACACAGAACUCCGAUUGCGAAGGCAGCUUACUAAGCUACAACUGACACUGAAGCACGAAAGCGUGGGGAUCAAACAGGAUUAGAUACCCGAGUAGUCC